UACGUAGGGGGCGAGCGUUGUCCGGAUUUAUUGGGCGUAAAGAGCUCGUAGGCGGUUUGGCAAGUCGGGUGUGAAAACUCCGGGCUCAACUCGGAGACGCCACUCGAUACUGCCAUGACUCGAGUCCGGUAGGGGAGUGCGGAAUUCCCGGUGUAGCGGUGAAAUGCGCAGAUAUCGGGAGGAACACCAAUGGCGAAGGCAGCUCGCUGGGACGUUACUGACGCUGAGACGCGAAAGCGUGGGGAGCAAACAGG
This 254-nucleotide ribosomal RNA is filed under the name uncultured bacterium. RNAcentral describes it as "partial 16S ribosomal RNA". It matches the Rfam family "Bacterial small subunit ribosomal RNA", at positions 524 to 776 of the family's 1533-position model. The record is from RNAcentral.